RNAcentral lists this ribosomal RNA (489 nucleotides) under uncultured Microbacteriaceae bacterium. RNAcentral's name for it is "bacterial SSU rRNA". It matches the Rfam family "Bacterial small subunit ribosomal RNA", at positions 9 to 507 of the family's 1533-position model. The record is from RNAcentral. Lineage: Bacteria; Bacillati; Actinomycetota; Actinomycetes; Micrococcales; Microbacteriaceae.
GUAGUUGACUCCGUGGCUACGAGGACAACGCUGGCGGCGUGCUUAACACAUGCAAGUCGAACGAUGAAGGGGAGCUUGCUUCCUGGAUUAGUGGCGAACGGGUGAGUAACACGUGAGUAACCUGCCCUGGACUCUGGGAUAACUGCGGGAAACUGUAGCUAAUACCGGAUAUGACCUGGGAUCGCAUGAUUCUUGGUGGAAAGUUUUUCGGUCUGGGGUGGACUCGCGGCCUAUCAGCUUGUUGGUGAGGUAAUGGCUCACCAAGGCGUCGACGGGUAGCCGGCCUGAGAGGGUGACCGGCCACACUGGGACUGAGACACGGCCCAGACUCCUACGGGAGGCAGCAGUGGGGAAUAUUGCACAAUGGGCGCAAGCCUGAUGCAGCAACGCCGCGUGGGGGAUGACGGCCUUCGGGUUGUAAACCUCUUUUAGUAAGGAAGAAGCCUUCGGGUGACGGUACUUGCAGAAAAAGCACCGGCUAACUACGUG